RNAcentral lists this ribosomal RNA (482 nucleotides) under uncultured bacterium. RNAcentral's name for it is "partial 16S ribosomal RNA". It matches the Rfam family "Bacterial small subunit ribosomal RNA", at positions 30 to 507 of the family's 1533-position model. The record is from RNAcentral.
AUUGGACGCUGGCGGCAUGCCUUACACAUGCAAGUCGAACGGUAACGGGCCUUCGGGUGCCGACGAGUGGCGAACGGGUGAGUAAUACAUCGGAACGUGCCCGAUCGUGGGGGAUAACGAGGCGAAAGCUUUGCUAAUACCGCAUACGAUCUACGGAUGAAAGCAGGGGACCGCAAGGCCUUGCGCGGACGGAGCGGCCGAUGGCAGAUUAGGUAGUUGGUGGGAUAAAAGCUUACCAAGCCGACGAUCUGUAGCUGGUCUGAGAGGAUGAUCAGCCACACUGGGACUGAGACACGGCCCAGACUCCUACGGGAGGCAGCAGUGGGCAAUUUUGGACAAAGGGCGCAAGCCUGAUCCAGCCAUGCCGCGUGCAGGAUGAAGGCCUUCGGGUUGUAAACUGCUUUUGUACGGAACGAAAAGCCUUCUUUUAAUACAGGAGGGUCAUGACGGUACCGUAAGAAUAAGCACCGGCUAACUACGUG